This 522-nucleotide ribosomal RNA is filed under the name Triticum aestivum (bread wheat). RNAcentral's name for it is "partial small subunit ribosomal RNA". The record is from RNAcentral. Lineage: Eukaryota; Viridiplantae; Streptophyta; Magnoliopsida; Poales; Poaceae.
AUGCACUCGCAGAGCCAGAUGAUCCUCCACGGCGACGUCAAAUCCGGCAACAUCCUCCUCGACGACAGCUUCACGCCCAAAGUGUCGGACUUUGGGACGUCCAGGCUCAUGUCCAUCAACAAGGACCACACCAACUGGGUGGUCGGGGACAGCAGCUACAUCAACCCCGUGUACAUGAAGAUCGGGCUGCUCACCGCUAAGAGUGACGUGUACAGCUUCGGUAUCGUGCUGCUCGAGCUCGUCACCCGAAAGAAGGCUAGGUACGGGGAGAAUCGUAGCCUUCCGAUGGACUACAUCAAGGCUUCCAAGGAUGGCCCAACAAGGCAGAUGUUCGAUGAUGAGGUUUCAGCCAAUGUGGAGGAAAACAUGGAGUGCCUCGAGGAGGUUGGCAAGAUCGCGGUGCAGUGUCUCGAGGAAGACGUGAAUAACAGGCCUACCAUGGGAGAAGUCAAGGAGAAACUUGAAAAGUGCAAGAGCCAAUGGUUGCAAAACCAGGGGAAGGCAAAUGAGGUAAUCCCCUAG